AGAGGAAGGGUACCCCGACCCACUGGUACGUGAGACACGACCGACGAACUCCUACGGGAGGCAGCAG
Molecule: ribosomal RNA, 67 nt
Filed under: uncultured bacterium
Lineage: Bacteria
Description: partial 16S ribosomal RNA
Source: RNAcentral